RNAcentral lists this unclassified non-coding RNA (273 nucleotides) under Hevea brasiliensis (rubber tree). Lineage: Eukaryota; Viridiplantae; Streptophyta; Magnoliopsida; Malpighiales; Euphorbiaceae. The record is from RNAcentral.
AAAACCUUAAACAGACAGAUAAAAGUGGAUAGAGGUAAUAUAUUUUAAUGUAACUCUAAAAUCCAUGUACUAAUAGAAGUGAGACCUAAAAUUUCGAUGCUAAAGCUUGGGACCUUGUAAUAUUCAAGGCAGAUGAUGUGUACUAAACACCUUCCUGUGUUAACAGAUUGUAUACUCUACUUCCUAUGGUUUAUUAAUAUUUAUAAGGAUUCCUUUCAUCAUCCAUCCUUGAUUUUCCAUUCGCAUUUGAUUGUGCAGGUCUUUCAGCCAUGG